This 713-nucleotide ribosomal RNA is filed under the name uncultured bacterium. Its description in RNAcentral is "bacterial SSU rRNA". It matches the Rfam family "Bacterial small subunit ribosomal RNA", at positions 59 to 771 of the family's 1533-position model. The record is from RNAcentral.
CAGUCGAACGAAGCACUUUAUUUGAUUUCCUUCGGGACUGAUUAUUUUGUCACUGAGUGGCGGACGGGUGAGUAACGCGUGGGUAACCUGCCUUGUACAGGGGGAUAACAGUUGGAAACGGCUGCUAAUACCGCAUAAGCGCACAGCAUCGCAUGAUGCAGUGUGAAAAACUCCGGUGGUAUAAGAUGGACCCGCGUUGGAUUAGCUAGUUGGUGAGGUAACGGCCCACCAAGGCGACGAUCCAUAGCCGACCUGAGAGGGUGACCGGCCACAUUGGGACUGAGACACGGCCCAAACUCCUACGGGAGGCAGCAGUGGGGAAUAUUGCACAAUGGGCGAAAGCCUGAUGCAGCGACGCCGCGUGAGCGAAGAAGUAUUUCGGUAUGUAAAGCUCUAUCAGCAGGGAAGAUAAUGACGGUACCUGACUAAGAAGCACCGGCUAAAUACGUGCCAGCAGUCGCGGUAAUACGUAUGGUGCAAGCGUUAUCCGGAUUUACUGGGUGUAAGGGAGCGCAGGCGGUGCGGCAAGUCUGACGUGAAAGCCCGGGGCUCAACCCCGGUACUGCAUUGGAAACUGUCGUACUAGAGUGUCGGAGGGGUAAGCGGAAUUCCUAGUGUAGCGGUGAAAUGCGUAGAUAUUAGGAGGAACACCAGUGGCGAAGGCGGCUUACUGGACGAUAACUGACGCUGAGGCUCGAAAGCGUGGGGAGCAA